AAGAGAUGAUGUCACCACAAGGAGAAUUAUAGAAUCACAAAUGGACAUAGAUCUGGAAAGAUUGCCUGGCUUCUCUCCCUGUAGGAGACCGAGGAUACUCUGGUAGAGAAAUGAUGUUGCACAAAGAACCCUGGAGUCAAUAGAUGUGAGUUAAGAGGAAACCUGGUCUGAACAGUGGCUAAAGUGCUGGAACUGCAGUCUAGAAGAGCAGAGUUCAAAUAUUGUCUCUGAGGAUCACUCGUCGUGUGACCAAUGCUUGGAGCUUCGGCUGGUGACUUGCCUCUUGGAAGUGGCUUUGGACUUGAACCUUGGCUUUGACUUUGGUCCUUGGGUUCUUGGAUUGCUUCCUGGAGGAGUGCUCUUGGAUCUUCUCUUUUGGACUUCAACUUGGAUACAUGGGUACCUAAGGAACAAAGGAAGAAGAUGCCAAUAGAUCCAGUUAUGAAGAACAAAUGCUCAGUUAAGUGCUGUGACCUAGAAUCCAGUAUCACAGAGCAUCCCUGAGGCCAACUGGGAUUUUCAAGGUUCAGGAGCAUGUAGGCAUAACAAAGGACAAACAUGAUAUACUGUAA
RNAcentral lists this long non-coding RNA (572 nucleotides) under Monodelphis domestica (gray short-tailed opossum). Its description in RNAcentral is "lncRNA (ENSMODG00000050056.1)". The record is from RNAcentral. Lineage: Eukaryota; Metazoa; Chordata; Mammalia; Didelphimorphia; Didelphidae.